Molecule: long non-coding RNA, 596 nt
Organism: Ictalurus punctatus (channel catfish)
Lineage: Eukaryota; Metazoa; Chordata; Actinopteri; Siluriformes; Ictaluridae
Source: Ensembl
CUUAUGGUUUUGAAGUAACUAGCUAAUUAUCAAACACAUCUUAUAGUUUUGAAGUAACUAGCUAUCAUCAAAACAUCUUAUAGUUUUGAAGUAACUAGCUAAUUAUCAAACACAUCUUAUAGUUUUGAAGUAACUAGCUAAUCAUCAAAACAUCUUAUGUUUUUGAAGUAACUAGCUAAUUAUCAAACACAUCUUAUAGUUUUGAAGUAACUAGCUAAUUAUCAAACACAUCUUAUGGUUUUGAAGUAACUAGCUAAUCAUCAAAAACAUCUUAUAGUUUUGAAGUAACUAGCUAAUUAUCAAACAUCUUAUAGUUUUGAAGUAACUAGCUAAUUAUCAAAACAUCUUAUGGUUUUGAAGUAACUAGCUAAUUAUCAAAACAUCUUAUGGUUUUGAAGUAACUAGCUAAUUAUCAAAACAUCUUAUGGUUUUGAAGUAACUAGCUAAUCAUCAAAAACAUCUUAUAGUUUUGAAGUAACUAGCUAAUUAUCAAAACAUCUUAUGGUUUUGAAGUAACUAGCUAAUUAUCAAAACAUCUUAUAGUUUUGAAGUAACUAGCUAUUUAUCAAAACAUCUUAUAGUUUUGAAGUAACUAG